GGGGCAGUUGGUAGCUCAGUGGUGUGCAUGCUUUGUGUGUGACGUCCUGGGUUCAAAUCCCAGCUGCUCCC
Molecule: non-coding RNA, 71 nt
Organism: Dallia pectoralis (Alaska blackfish)
Lineage: Eukaryota; Metazoa; Chordata; Actinopteri; Esociformes; Umbridae
Source: the annotation of a GenBank genome assembly